This 1540-nucleotide ribosomal RNA is filed under the name Klebsiella pneumoniae. RNAcentral describes it as "16S ribosomal RNA". It matches the Rfam family "Bacterial small subunit ribosomal RNA". The record is from RNAcentral. Lineage: Bacteria; Pseudomonadati; Pseudomonadota; Gammaproteobacteria; Enterobacterales; Enterobacteriaceae.
AAAUUGAAGAGUUUGAUCAUGGCUCAGAUUGAACGCUGGCGGCAGGCCUAACACAUGCAAGUCGAGCGGUAGCACAGAGAGCUUGCUCUCGGGUGACGAGCGGCGGACGGGUGAGUAAUGUCUGGGAAACUGCCUGAUGGAGGGGGAUAACUACUGGAAACGGUAGCUAAUACCGCAUAACGUCGCAAGACCAAAGUGGGGGACCUUCGGGCCUCAUGCCAUCAGAUGUGCCCAGAUGGGAUUAGCUAGUAGGUGGGGUAACGGCUCACCUAGGCGACGAUCCCUAGCUGGUCUGAGAGGAUGACCAGCCACACUGGAACUGAGACACGGUCCAGACUCCUACGGGAGGCAGCAGUGGGGAAUAUUGCACAAUGGGCGCAAGCCUGAUGCAGCCAUGCCGCGUGUGUGAAGAAGGCCUUCGGGUUGUAAAGCACUUUCAGCGGGGAGGAAGGCGUUAAGGUUAAUAACCUUGGCGAUUGACGUUACCCGCAGAAGAAGCACCGGCUAACUCCGUGCCAGCAGCCGCGGUAAUACGGAGGGUGCAAGCGUUAAUCGGAAUUACUGGGCGUAAAGCGCACGCAGGCGGUCUGUCAAGUCGGAUGUGAAAUCCCCGGGCUCAACCUGGGAACUGCAUUCGAAACUGGCAGGCUAGAGUCUUGUAGAGGGGGGUAGAAUUCCAGGUGUAGCGGUGAAAUGCGUAGAGAUCUGGAGGAAUACCGGUGGCGAAGGCGGCCCCCUGGACAAAGACUGACGCUCAGGUGCGAAAGCGUGGGGAGCAAACAGGAUUAGAUACCCUGGUAGUCCACGCCGUAAACGAUGUCGAUUUGGAGGUUGUGCCCUUGAGGCGUGGCUUCCGGAGCUAACGCGUUAAAUCGACCGCCUGGGGAGUACGGCCGCAAGGUUAAAACUCAAAUGAAUUGACGGGGGCCCGCACAAGCGGUGGAGCAUGUGGUUUAAUUCGAUGCAACGCGAAGAACCUUACCUGGUCUUGACAUCCACAGAACUUUCCAGAGAUGGAUUGGUGCCUUCGGGAACUGUGAGACAGGUGCUGCAUGGCUGUCGUCAGCUCGUGUUGUGAAAUGUUGGGUUAAGUCCCGCAACGAGCGCAACCCUUAUCCUUUGUUGCCAGCGGUUAGGCCGGGAACUCAAAGGAGACUGCCAGUGAUAAACUGGAGGAAGGUGGGGAUGACGUCAAGUCAUCAUGGCCCUUACGACCAGGGCUACACACGUGCUACAAUGGCAUAUACAAAGAGAAGCGACCUCGCGAGAGCAAGCGGAUCUCAUAAAGUAUGUCGUAGUCCGGAUUGGAGUCUGCAACUCGACUCCAUGAAGUCGGAAUCGCUAGUAAUCGUAGAUCAGAAUGCUACGGUGAAUACGUUCCCGGGCCUUGUACACACCGCCCGUCACACCAUGGGAGUGGGUUGCAAAAGAAGUAGGUAGCUUAACCUUCGGGAGGGCGCUUACCACUUUGUGAUUCAUGACUGGGGUGAAGUCGUAACAAGGUAACCGUAGGGGAACCUGCGGUUGGAUCACCUCCUUA